GUCCACACCGUAAACGAUGGAUACUAGGUGUGCGGGGACUGACCCCCUGCGUGCCGGAGUUAACACAUUAAGUAUCCCACCUGGGGAGUACGAUCGCAAGAUUGAAACUCAAAGGAAUUGACGGGCACCCGCACAAGCAGUGGAGUAUGUUGAUUAAUUCGACGCAACGCGAAGAACCUUACCAGGGUUUGACAUCCUAAGAAUUCCUAAGAGAUUAGGGAGUGCCUUUCGGGGAACUUAGAGACAGGUGGUGCAUGGUUGUCGU
This 265-nucleotide ribosomal RNA is filed under the name uncultured bacterium. RNAcentral's name for it is "partial 16S ribosomal RNA". It matches the Rfam family "Bacterial small subunit ribosomal RNA", at positions 793 to 1055 of the family's 1533-position model. The record is from RNAcentral.